UCACUCCAUCUUGGCUUAGUAAAAGCUUGAUGCUUUUAUCAAGGAAGACCUCGUGCCAUUUUUGGAUGACAGGUCUGCUAGGAGGGACAUCGCUUCAGCAUCCUAACAUGGUGUGGAAGAAACUGGCACAAGGUCCCCCCAGCAGGCGUCCUGACAACCUUCCAAGGAAACGAGGGCGGUUAACGCUGGCUGAGCCGCACUGUGGGACCAGUUGUUGCCCAGCUGUAGUGUGCAGAGAAGCCGAAACAGUAGUGUACCAUUGGGCAGGACAAGUCAGGAAUGAGCCAGCCUUUGGAAGGAAGACCUGCCAUCCUAGCUGGAGACAUCUGAAGAGAGGACAUCUUAGUCCUGUGGCAUGCUCCAGUAGAAAUUACUUAGAAGAAAAAAAAUCAUCUUUAAUGACAGAAGUAAGGCAUGACCAGAGAAGAAAGUUCACAAACUAA
This 443-nucleotide long non-coding RNA is filed under the name Meleagris gallopavo (turkey). RNAcentral describes it as "lncRNA (ENSMGAG00000021665.1)". The record is from RNAcentral. Lineage: Eukaryota; Metazoa; Chordata; Aves; Galliformes; Phasianidae.